AACGAACGCUGGCGGCGCGCCUAACACAUGCAAGUCGAGCGAUGAAGACCCUUCGGGGUGUAUGAAGCGGCGGACGGGUGAGUAAGGCAUAGAUAAUCUGGUCCAGAAUGGGGAAUAACCGGUCGAAAGGCUGGCUAAUACCGCAUACACUAGCUGAGUGAAUAUCAGUUAGCAAAGGCUUCGGCCGUUUUGGAAUGAGUCUAUGUAGGAUUAGGUAGUUGGUGGGGUAAAAGCCUACCAAGCCUACGAUCCUUAACUGGUCUGAGAGGAUGAUCAGUCACACUGGAACUGAGACACGGUCCAGACUCCUACGGGAGGCAGCAGUGAGGAAUUUUGCGCAAUGGGGGAAACCCUGACGCAGCGACGCCGCGUGGAGGAUGAAGUAUCUCGGUAUGUAAACUCCUGUCAGUGGGGAUGAUGAUGACAGUACCCACAGAGGAAGCACCGGCUAACUCCGUG
Molecule: ribosomal RNA, 459 nt
Filed under: uncultured bacterium
Lineage: Bacteria
Description: bacterial SSU rRNA
Rfam family: Bacterial small subunit ribosomal RNA
Source: RNAcentral